Molecule: unclassified non-coding RNA, 140 nt
Filed under: soil metagenome
Description: partial internal transcribed spacer 1
Source: RNAcentral
UCAAAACAGCGGCCUUCGGGCCUCGCUGCACCCUUGUCUUUUGCGCACCGUAUUGUUUCCUCGGCGGGCUUGCCCUGCCGGUUGGACAUCAUAAAACCUUUUUGUAGUUGCAAUCAGCGUCAGAAAAACAAUAAUUAUUA